Molecule: ribosomal RNA, 1323 nt
Filed under: Triticum aestivum (bread wheat)
Lineage: Eukaryota; Viridiplantae; Streptophyta; Magnoliopsida; Poales; Poaceae
Description: partial small subunit ribosomal RNA
Source: RNAcentral
AUGGGGUUCGUGUCGUUGCUGGCGGUGGCGUCGACGCCGGUAGUGGAGGUGCUGCUCGUCGCGCUCCUUGGGGCCUACCUCGCCUCGCCCCGCUGCGGGCUCCUGGCUCCCUCCGCCCGCGCCGACAUCAACCGCGUCGUCUACGCCGUCUUCACCCCGGCGCUGCUGCUCGCCAGCCUCGCAUCCACCGUCACCCUCCACGACGCCCUCUCAUGGUGGUUCAUGCCGGUGAACAUCGGCAUCAUCUUCCUCGCCGGCGGGGUCCUGGGGUGGCUGGCGGUGCUCAUCCUCAGGCCACCGCCGCACCUCCGUGGGCUGGUCGUCGCGUCGUGCUCUGCGGCGAAUUUCGGCAACCUGCUCCUCAUUGUGAUCCCCGCGGUCUGCCGAGAGGACGGCAACCCCUUCGGCGGUGACUGCACCGGCCGCGGCCUCUCCUACGCCUCCUUCUCCAUGGCGCUUGGAGGGCUGUACAUCUGGACGCACACCUACAGCGUCAUGAAGAGGUCCAGCGAGGUAUGCCGGAGGAUGGCCGCCGCUGCUGAAGCUCAUGACCAUGCCAAGAAGGACCCUGUCGAUGUCACUGUCGCUGUCGAGGAGGAAGAAGAAGGGGACGAGGAGCAGCCCAGCUGGAAUGAUGGCGAUGGCGGGGAGGACGGGCUUGUCUUGGCGCCGUCGUCGUCGUCUUCUUCCUCGCAUCAACACCAAACUUCACUCAUGGGACCGUUGCUGUCUAGCCACCACCACCGCCAUUCCAGCGGUAAGAUGACGAGCAGCGGCAGCCUGUGGGCGAAGCUGACGCAGGGCACGCAACAGAUCGUCGAGGAGCUCAUGGCGCCGCCGACCGUCGGAGCGGUUCUGGGCUUCACCGUCGGCACCGUGCCGUGGCUGAGAUCCGCCUUCAUCGGCGACGGCGCUCCGCUGCGAGUCGUGCAGGACUCCCUCAAACUGCUCGGAGAUGGCACCAUCCCCUGUGUCACCCUCAUCCUCGGAGGAAACCUCACCAAAGGCUUGCGAAAGACGACGAUGUCGCGGUGGGUGAUCGCGGCCAUCGUCUGCGUGCGCUACGUGAUCCUGCCGGUGGUCGGGGUGGCUGUGGUGAGGACGGCGAGGGAGCUCGGCUUCCUGCCGCCCGACCCGCUGUACCAGUACGUGUUGAUGCUCCAGUUCGCGCUGCCGCCCGCAAUGAGCAUCGGCACCAUGGCGCAGCUCUACGACGUGGCCCAGGAGGAGUGCUCCGUCGUCUUCCUCUGGACCUACCUCGUCGCCGCCCUCGCCCUCACCGCCUGGUCCACCGUCUUCAUGUCCAUCCUCGCCCCCGCCUAG